RNAcentral lists this ribosomal RNA (468 nucleotides) under uncultured bacterium. Its description in RNAcentral is "partial 16S ribosomal RNA". It matches the Rfam family "Bacterial small subunit ribosomal RNA", at positions 28 to 507 of the family's 1533-position model. The record is from RNAcentral.
GACGAACGCUGGCGGCGUGCCUAACACAUGCAAGUCGAGCGAAAAGACCCGGCGUUUGUGCGGUUGUCGAUGGCCGAAGGGGGGAGUGACACGUGUGUAUCCUCCCCUUCUCUUUCGGAGAACGUCACGAAACUCAGGCUAAUAUCGGAUAGGAUCUCUUGCAGCAUGGUGUGCAUUGGAAAGAUUAGGCGGUUGGGGAUGGACUGGCGGCUUAUGCGCUUGUUGGUGGGGUAGUGGCUGACCAAGGAUUUCACGGCUAGCCGACAUGGGAGGGUGAACGGCGACCUUGGGACUGAGAUAGGGACCAGAAGCGUACGGGAGGCAGCAGUGGGGAAUCUUGCACAAUGGGAGGAAGUGUGAUGCAGAGGCGUCGAGUGCGGGAUGCUGGCUUUUGGGUUAUAAACAGAUUUCGCCUGAGACGAAGCGGUAGUGACGGUAACGGGUAAAGAAGCACCGGCUAACUACGUG